UACGUAGGCAGCGAGCGUUGUUCGGAGUUACUGGGCGUAAAGCGUGCGUAGGCGGUGUCUCACGUUUGUUGUGAAAUCUCCCGGCUCAACCGGGAGGGUGCGGCGAAUACUGAGAUGCUGGAGUGCGGGAGAGGUAAGCGGAAUUCCUGGUGUAGCGGUGAAAUGCGUAGAUAUCAGGAGGAACACCUGCGGUGUAGACGGCUUACUGGACCGUAACUGACGCUGAGGCACGAAAGUGUGGGUAGCAAACAGG
This 253-nucleotide ribosomal RNA is filed under the name uncultured bacterium. Its description in RNAcentral is "partial 16S ribosomal RNA". It matches the Rfam family "Bacterial small subunit ribosomal RNA", at positions 524 to 776 of the family's 1533-position model. The record is from RNAcentral.